This is a long non-coding RNA of Fopius arisanus, 1668 nucleotides long. RefSeq lists it as uncharacterized. The record is from RefSeq and is a predicted model, not a curated record. NCBI's taxonomy places the organism in Eukaryota, Metazoa, Arthropoda, Insecta, Hymenoptera, Braconidae. The transcript has 3 exons.
GCUGAUGGAAAAAUUGUUGAUUAGUCUUGGCCAAUGAGUCUUUCUAUUACAUUCGAUCGUAUGAACAUUUCGUGUAAUGAAUUGAGUACGACAGGGUCAUUCAGGUCUCCAGGUAUUAGGACAUUAUUUGAUUAUUAAUCAUUUUGUGGGAAUGACUAGAGAAAAUCCUUAUGGUGGAAUUUCAUUACUUUUUUCACCUUUCCCUUUUAACGUGGAAAAAUAAUUGGAUGAAGAUGAUGUUUUAUUUAAUGCGUUAUAACAGGUUCGCCUGCGUAUUUUUAUUGGACGUCGAGGAAGUUAUAAUGGACACCCAAGAACCUUUUACGAUAGAUUUUAAGAUUUUUAAUUAUCACGUGUCGGUUAAAUAGCGUUUGGAAAAUUUCUUAAAUGACCUUUUAACAAUUAUAUUCUUAUUAUGAAUAAAUAAUUGAAGUUAUCGGAAUUCUUAGGGAAUUUUCACUUUUGUGUAUAAAAUAAAUUUCUCAUGACAUUCUGAAUAUUGAGCGAUUCUCGAAAAAUUGACUUUACUUUUUAUUGACGAAUUUCUGCUGAUCGUAAAUAAUAUUUCGUUGUUUAUUUAUGGAAAGGCUUUGAUUAAAAUUUUUCUGAUGAAUUUUUCGACGUACGUCACAUAUUGAGUAUCGAUUAACCAAAAAAAGAAAGACGACGAGAGAUUUCGAAAUGGUAUGCCGAGUGUGGGCCAAUCCAGUUAUUCUAGAUGGAUAAGCCAAGAAUGAAUGAAGAGAAAAAGAAAAUGGAGGAUUUUAAAAGUGGCAAAAGAAAAUAAAAGUGAGUGUGGAAAAAAUUCGAUACUCCGUGAAAUGAUAAGGUGAGACCAUUAAUGCUGGUGUCGAUGACGUUAUCCUCAGGGAGAACUUAUCGAGGACCCGAAAUACCUGAGGUUCCAAAAUUACUUGGUUUAAUUCAAUGGAGAUAAUGAGAUACCUUGGUUGUGAAGUAUCGCCAGAGAAAUUCUACAAAUAUCUUCAUUUUCGUUGGAGAAUAAAUUAGCAGAUAAAUGAACGAAUUGAAUCAUCUCAGUACGACUCAUCUGAACCAAUAAAUGCUGAACCAAUAAAUCAUUACGUUCACUCCAUAAUUUUAUAAUUUUUCAAUCGGGAUUUAGUCGCUAAUAUGCUAAAUGAUUUAACCAUCAGACAUUAAAGAGAGCAAACUCGAUCCGAUGGCGAAGGGGCUUUUAGUUGAAGCAUGUCGAGUGGUACCGUUAAUUAGACUAAUUGAAAACAUUCCUCGUUGCCUCCCUCUAUGUAUAAAUUUCGACGUAUUUAUCAGGAAUAUCCCCAAGAGAAGUCGAUUGUGGUGAUUUGCUUGAGCUCCCUGGGGAUUACUUCUGUGUACGUUGAGGAAUUUAUAUAUUUUUAUAUUUAAAUCUUAAAGGAUCACUCCCAAUUCGAUAUUGUUGGAAUAUAGCCUCAGUCUUCUACGAAUUGAUUUCUAUGAGUCUAUGGUUUCAAAAAUGUAUCAACAUAGAGAGAGAUGUUGGAAUUAGACAUAAACAUAAGCCAUGAGGUCAUGUGGCAAAGGGACUGGGGAUCCUUCCUCAUAUUAUGACGAUUUUUCUUUUGGUCUCGUUGACCACUUUUAGUCUGCUGUGGCAGGUCGUAUUGAACAGACAUUUCUUCCUCGUGCCAUUUUCAAUAAAUUUAA